Molecule: long non-coding RNA, 322 nt
Filed under: Physcomitrium patens
Lineage: Eukaryota; Viridiplantae; Streptophyta; Bryopsida; Funariales; Funariaceae
Description: long non-coding RNA (PPAT_LNC009315)
Source: RNAcentral
GAAGUGAGUCUAUGGAAUAAAUCAGAGAUUGAUUUAUGAGUUAUUGAUUAUGUAAUUAGAGUACUAAGUGAUUGAAUUAUAAGAGAAGUUAUUGGAAGAUUGAUUGUGGAUGGAAGAUUAUGAUUGUUGUUUAUUGAGAGCUGUGUAUGUUUUGACAGAGGAAGUGUGUGAUUACAAAAAUUAAGUGAAUUCGGAUUUGUUGGAGUGAAGUUUGUUAUUUCUGGUGUUAGAUGGAAAUUAUGUCUUUUGAGAGUGCAGAGUUACAGACUGUUGUUAUCAGUUGAUGAAGGAAUAUUGUUACUAGAAGAAAGCAUCGUAAUAU